CCCAGGGGAGGCACCCCCGGAAUUGCUCUGCCUUGUGUCCCACUUCUACCCUUCUGGGGGCCUGGAGGUGGAGUGGGAACUCCGGGGUGGCCCAGGGGGCCGCUCUCAGAAGGCCGAGGGGCAGAGGUGGCUCUCGGCCCUGCGCCACCAUUCCGAUGGCUCUGUCAGCCUCUCUGGGCACUUGCAGCCGCCCCCAGUCACCACUGAGCAGCAUGGGGCACGCUAUGCCUGUCGAAUUCACCAUCCCAGCCUGCCUGCCUCGGGGCGCAGCGCUGAGGUCACCCUGGAGGUAGCAGGUCUUUCAGGGCCCUCCCUUGAGGACAGCGUAGGCCUUUUCCUGUCUGCCUUUCUUCUGCUUGGGCUCUUCAAGGCACUGGGCUGGGCUGCUGUCUACCUGUCCACCUGCAAGGAUUCAAAGAAGAAAGCAGAGUGAGGGCACUCACUGCCAUCCUGUGGAAGCCACCAUCAUCUCUGGCCCAAGCUUCUGUAGUAGCUCCCUAAAAUAAUACCCUAUCAUCUGCUCCUAAUCCCUCCAAUCUCUCUCCACUGAGUGGCUGGAAUGCUUUUUUUUUUUUCUUUCACUUAUAUAAGGGAUAAUUUUUCUUUUUUUUUUUUUUUUGAGACGGAGUCUCACUCUUCCGCCCAGGCUGCAGUGCAGUGGCAUGAUCUUGGCUUACUGCAACCUCCGCCUCCUGGGUUCAAGCAAUUCUGUGGCUUCAGCCUCCGGAGUAGCUGGGAUUACAGGCACAUGCCACCACACCCAGUGAAUUUUUGUAUUUUUAGUAGAGACGGGGUUUCACCAUGUUGGCCAGGCUGGUCUUGAAUUCCUGACCUCAGGUGAUCUGCCCACCUCAGCCUCCCAAAGUGCUGGGAUUACAGGCGUGAGCCACCACACCAGGCCCGAGAAAUGCUUUUUUAAAAAACACACAUCUUAUGGCAUUCACCUUCUUGGAGCUCUAGGACAGUGGUUCUCAAAAUUUUUUUCUCUCAGGACCUCUUAAAAAUCAUCAAGGACCCCAAAAAGCUUUUGGGUAUGUGGGUUAUAGCUAUCAAUAUUUAUGGUACUAGAACUUAAAAGUGAGAAAAAUUUAAAACACGAGAAUACAUAGGCACACAUUCUAUUCAUCGUGGGAACCAUGGUGUCAAUACAUAUCAUGUAGCUUCUGAAAAACUCCACUGUACACUUAUAGAAUGAAGAAGGCAAAAAACUUUUUUUUUUUUUUUUUUGAGACGGAGUCUCGCUCUGUCGCCCAGGCUGGAGUGCAGUGGCGCGAUCUCGGCUCACUGCAAGCUCCGCCUCUCGGGUUCACGCCAUUCUCCUGCCUCAGCCUCCCAAGUAGCUCGGACUACAGGCGUCCUCCACCAUGCCUGGCUAAUAUUUUGUAUUUUUUAGUAGAGACGGGGUUUCACCGUGUUAGCCAGGAUGGUCUCGAUCUCCUAACCUGGUGAUCCGCCCGCCUCGGCCUCCCAAAGUAUUGGGAUUACCCGCGUGAGCCACCGCGCCCGGCUGCAAAUAAUCUUUCUUUUUUUCUGAGACAGAGUCUCGCUCUGUUGCCCAGGCUGGAGUGCAGUGGCACGAUCUCGGCUCACGGCACGCUCCGCCUCCCGGGUUCACGCCAUUCUCCUGCCUCAGCUUCCCGAGUAGCUGGGACUACAGGGGCCCGCCACCACGCCCGGCUAACUUUUUGUGUUUUUAGUAGAGACGGGGUUUCACCGUGUUAGCCAGGAUGGUCUCGAUCUCCUGACCUUGUGAUCUGCCCGCCUCGGCCUCCCAAAGUGCUGGGAUUACAGGCGUGAGCCACCGCGCCCGGCGGCGAAACACGAUAUUGUACUAACAUCUUAAUUUUGUUAUAAAAUCUCACAAACCCCCUGACAUAGUCUCAGAGAUCUGUAGGGCCGAGGUUACAUUUGGAGAACCCGUACUCUAGGGCCAAAUCCAUUCUUCUUGCCCUGGCUCACUUGUCCCCCCCACCGCCCCGCGCUGGAGCCACUGCCUAGUUCUUCAGCCCUAGAUGGUGCUCGCCAGACCUCCUCUCAAUGCUCAUCACACACAGGGCUAUUCCUUUCCUCCAAUGAACCAAACGCCUCCCGCCCACCUCCAGGUCCCAGUCCUCUGUUCCCUUUGCCUGGUCCACCCUUGCCCUCCCUGGGUCGCAGACGAGGUCGGCCUCGUCAUUCCCCGCAGACCGCCGCGCGUCCCUCUUGUGCGGUUCACCACAGUUGUAUUUAAGUGAUCGUGUGAGUCGUCGUUAAAUGCCUGUCUCCCCGCGGAUCAUGGGCUCCUCGAGGACAGGGACUGGCCUGUCUGUCCACUGCUGUAACCCCGCGCCGGCAUAGGGACCUAAGGCCCACUGGAGGGCGCUCAUCAAGUAGCUGCUGGAUGUUGACGAAGGAAGCGGCGGCGCAGCUCAGGGAUCUCCGAGUCAGGACGGUCGGCCAGACCCACGGGGUAACGGGUCUAAUCGUGUAGGAAUAAAGCUGUAUUCCAGUGCU
This 2493-nucleotide long non-coding RNA is filed under the name Homo sapiens (human). RNAcentral describes it as "HSALNT0105172". The record is from RNAcentral. Lineage: Eukaryota; Metazoa; Chordata; Mammalia; Primates; Hominidae.